UGAUACUUAUUACAGUUUCUAGUGGCGGACGGUGAGUAACACGUUGGAACCUGCCCCAAAGUGAGGAAUAAGCCACCGAAAGGUGGUCUAAUACUUCAUAAUAUCCAUCUCGUAUGGAUUAAAGCUUUAUGCGCUUGGGAGGGGCCUGCGUAACAUUAGCUUGUUGGUGAGGUAAAAGCUCACCAAGGCUUCGAUGUUUAACUGGUUUGAGAGGAUGACCAGUCACACUGGGACUGAGAUACGGCCCAGACUCCUACGGGAGGCAGCAGUAAGGAAUCUUCCACAAUGGGGCAACCCUGAUGGAGCAAUACCGCGUGCAGGAUGAAGCGUUUCGGCGUGUAAACUGCUUUUAUCACCGAAGAUUAUGACUGUAGGUGAAGAAUAAGGACCGGCUAACUACGUG
Molecule: ribosomal RNA, 403 nt
Filed under: uncultured bacterium
Lineage: Bacteria
Description: bacterial SSU rRNA
Rfam family: Bacterial small subunit ribosomal RNA
Source: RNAcentral